This 62-nucleotide transfer RNA is filed under the name unidentified. Its description in RNAcentral is "Rhytidodus viridiflavus tRNA-Ala". The record is from RNAcentral.
AGGAUUAUAGUUAACUAUAACAUUUGAUUUGCAUUCAAAAAGUAUCUUACGGAUUAAUCUUG